Molecule: non-coding RNA, 83 nt
Organism: Aquitalea magnusonii
Lineage: Bacteria; Pseudomonadati; Pseudomonadota; Betaproteobacteria; Neisseriales; Chromobacteriaceae
Source: Rfam
CCUCCCGCUUGCCUCCCUGAGCGGGAGCCUUACGCUGACAAUUAAGGCCUUUACCCCGGCGCAAUGUGCGCCGGGUUUUUUAU